Long non-coding RNA from Sinocyclocheilus grahami, 2313 nucleotides. Ensembl lists it as uncharacterized. NCBI's taxonomy places the organism in Eukaryota, Metazoa, Chordata, Actinopteri, Cypriniformes, Cyprinidae. The record is from Ensembl.
GUAAGCGACACCUUAGUCUUUGUUUAGUGAAGAAAAGUGAAAAGAUGUAGGUGUCUGUCUGUCUUUAUCUCUGGCAAGCACUGCUCCUGCUCUCUGACUGUGAGUGAGUGCUGAGCGGAAGAGGAAAUAGUUCCUGUCCUGCACAGCUAUACAGCUCAUUUAUUUCAUUUCGACACUUGUGAUGUGCGGUUACUUAUUUCCAAGCCAACCUGCUAUUUUAAAAACUACUUUGAAAGAAGCAUUUAUAAUCGAUAUGAUAGCACGAGGAUCUAUCCUGAUGAAUGAAGGAAUCAGAGUAUCGCGGUUUGAAGAUCCCUCCGCCGCCCAGCUGCACUAACUCCAGCAGCGGCGACUCACACUCACAGAGCCUGCUCACGCUGCACUCCUCCGCGUGUGAGCGUGUCUACUCUCCCGCUUAAAAACAACCCUCAAACCCACCCGAGAGGCUCAAACAAGACUCUGCUCUGCUGAAGUCGAUAGCUGUGCGUGUGGUGACUAAAUAUGAAGGCCAAGCUUCAUUCCGACGGGCCUCAGAGUUGCUCCAACAGCGACGAGGAGGAGACGGACAGCCUCAGCGACAGCCAGUAUAUCGUUGUCAAGCUUGAAGAUGAAGAGGAAGAUCCAGAAACCGAGAUGGAUCUGAGUAUAUUCGCUCCUGUCGAGUCCUCGGAGUGUGAGGAGGAGGAAGAGGAUGAAGGGGAGCUCUCAGAGUCGUCCAGUGUUUCUAGCUGGAGAAGGACAGACACCAGAGAGAGAGAUAACCCGGAGGAUCCAGCGCCCCUUGAGCAACAGUCUUCCAGGAGGUGUUUAAAAGGACAGCGACGGAGCCGACAGACCUUUCUGGCUGCGCAGAGACACAAGCAGAGUCUGGACUGUAGUGCAGCAAGCAGGGCCGUGAAUGUCGGACUCCCGUCUGAGAAUCACACAUUUUGCCAAGCUGCUCCUCCGUUUGAUUCAGCCCGAGGUCCUGUAGAGACGUCUGGACUGGACACAGCAAUCAGCCCUUUAGCUGCCAUGGAGCCUCCUGUAUUUCCAAAUGCACCAGUACAGAGCACAUCUGUCGUCGGGGAGGAUCAGCAGAAUAUACUACUCGAGGUCCUGAACCAUUGUAGGUUCCUGCAUGCAGCAGUGCAGAGGCUUGAGCAGAAGAUUGACAGACAGAUGUCAAAUGAGAGAAGGGCGUCUCUGCGUGUUGAAGAAAGGCAGCUGUCCUGGUCUUUGGCCCAGAGACUUGAUCCACCAGUCCAGAGAAACCCACGCUGGAUCCCUCCCUGGAAACGAGGGCUGGACAGGGCGGAUCUUCAGCAGGCUGACAACAGCAGCCCUCAGCCGGGCAAACCUCCUGGCGGCGGACGAGGCAGAGGCAGGGGCAGAGGACGGGGUCGCAGGGGGCGCGGUAACGGAUCCCAGCGCCAGUCUCAAACUCCUGAUCCUGCUUCACUCAUGUCAAAGCCCAAUGGAGAAGAGGUCUGCACUGCAUCCACAGAUGACCCCCAGCCGUCCCAGGUAAUGAAGGACAGCUCUCCGGCUAACACAGGCUCAAAGCUUCAGCAGAAAAGAAAGAAAUCCUUUACUCAGGUGGACGGGGAGGAUGAAAAUGAACUGGAGAAGAUGCCCAAGAGUAAAGAGGCCACACUCGAAGUUCAGGUUGACAGCAAAGUAAUGAUCGGAAGCCCCUUGAGGAAGGUGUGGAUCCCGCUGUCUGUGUACAAGGAGGUGUUUAAGGAGCUGGAGCCCCAGAAGGCUGUAGUGCCUGUGCUUUACGCUCUCUUCCCCAUCAGCACUCUGUCCUGCAGUGCCGUCACAGGAAACCCUGCAAAAGGCAUCCAGCAACUCGACCCCAACAAAAUAGAAGCCCUUCGAGAGUUUCUUGCUGAGAUGUACCCACAGUUUGACGUCGGCGUGAGGGGCGUGUCGUGGGCACAGUGUCUUGGAGUGAUAAACAACAUCACCAAAGACCUCAAGAAACAAGCGGAAAAAACAUCACAUCGGCCAACAGAGGUCGGUUACACAAGAAAUGAUUGUUCAUACUCUUGAGGAUCUGACACUCAUACUGAAUGUGCAACGAUGUAACCAGUUUUAUUCACUUCAAUCAAUCGUCUGAACUGAUACAGUGUUCAUAACUGAAGUGCAAGUCCCUGUUUUGACAACAGCUGUCUUUUGUUCUCUCUUCUAUAGCUGCUAAGUUUCAAUGGAGAGAAAGGUUUUGGAUGUGUAAUAUAUUAACAAUUCCUUUAUUCUUAAUAAAUCCAUAUAUUAACCUUUUUUUUUUUUUUGUUUGUUUAAACAUCUAUAUAUUAAUGUACAUUUUAU